GAUGAACGCUGGCGGCGUGCCUAAUACAUGCAAGUCGAGCGAACGGACGAGAAGCUUGCGGCGCUGAUGUUAGCGGCGGACGGGUGAGUAACACGUGUAAAACCUACCUGUAAGACGGGGAAAACCUCGGAAAACGGGAGCUAAUACCGGAUAAUAUUUUGAACCGCGGGGGUCAAUAGAGAAAGACGGUCUUGCUGUCUGUAAUAGCGGGAUCCCCGCUGCAUUAGCUGGUUGGUGAGGUAACGGCUUACCAAGGCAACGAUGCGUAGACGACGUGAGAGGGUGAUCGGCCACACUGGAACUGAGCCACGGUCCAGGCUCCUACGGGAGGCAGCAGUAGGGAAUCUUCGGCAAUGGGCGAAAGCAUGACGGAGCAAGCCCGCGUGAGUGAUGAAGGUCCUCGGAUCGUAAAGCUCUGUUAUUGGGGAAGAACAGCUGUGUACGUAACUGUGGACAUAUUGACGGUACCUAAUCAGAAAGCCCCGGCUAACUACGUG
Molecule: ribosomal RNA, 497 nt
Filed under: uncultured bacterium
Lineage: Bacteria
Description: partial 16S ribosomal RNA
Rfam family: Bacterial small subunit ribosomal RNA
Source: RNAcentral